CUUGUUCAUUUUAUGUUUAGGU
Molecule: non-coding RNA, 22 nt
Filed under: Arabidopsis thaliana (thale cress)
Lineage: Eukaryota; Viridiplantae; Streptophyta; Magnoliopsida; Brassicales; Brassicaceae
Source: RNAcentral